UAAUUUUUAAAUUGACCAAUUCAACUGUACAACACAAGGUAUUUUCACAUCACAUCACAAUUAAUUAGUCUAUAUAACAUCGACGCCAAAGUUCCCAAUCACGAUUCAUAGUUCACAUUCCCCAUAAGCUAAAAUAACACAAGCUACAUCACCACCUGCUACAACAUGUAGCUUCAAUACACACUAAGAAACAGAUUAACAAAUGAGUGGUCUUGAUCCAAACAUAAUUGUACAGCUCUCCUCUUCAUCAAAGGCACAUUUGCCGAAGGCUUUUUCUCCCGACUUAUUGUAGGUGGCUAGAGUUGCUCUGGUCCUUAUUUGUUCAUCCCAACUUUUUGAAAGAUGACUUGCAUAUCAUGCCAUUACAAGAAUAAGGCUAGAAUUUGCAACAAAUACAUAAACAGAUCGGUAAGCAUGAGUUACAAAAAAACAUCUAUCAUUGCAACAAAAUUCCACAGUUUAGUACUAACCCUGUUCUCCUGACUGUAGCUAUGUAAAUAUUACCUAAAAUUCAACAUUUUACAAUACACUACUUUUCGUAAUAUCCAUCAUGACAUUUUACCUAUACUGAUAAGAGAACCAUAUCCAAAUGAAAUGACAAAUAAAUUUAGUGGCUCGAGAUAUCAAACCAAAACAAAAGAAGCCAUUAUCCUUCUAACACAAACCACCAAGAUCAUUACCAUCAAAGAUCUGCUUGUCAAAUAGGAUCCCAAUUUGUGAACGAUCCAUUUUCUUCGAAAGGAAGCAUCACUCUACCUCAAUAAUCAUAGCUUAGGCCCCUAAAGACCAACCAAGAGAUUUAUCAAGUUGUAUAUGGAAAGAGUAUUGUCAUCGUAAGAGGUAUUGUCUAUUUUUUGUCUGAACUCUAGCACACAUAUAUAGUCAGGACAACAGAUUCACUGUUGUUGCAAGUGGGCUGAAAUUAAAGCUCGUUUAGAUAUCUGAGAUCAUUGGUGAUUGGAUUUUAUGAUGAAGUCAUCAUCAGCAUCUUCACUGUGCUUUUGCACUAUGCUCCACAUUCCAUGAUUUAUUAUGUUAUCUUAUCAUAAGAUUUCUUUGUUGUCUAUGGAGAUAAUAGCCCAUGCUCCAUUAACCUGCACUUGUAUCAAUGGUGUGUUUGUCAUGUAUAAUGCAGUGUUAUUACUAUAGUAAACUAGGUAGUUUUCUAACCCGUCAGCUCUGAAUGAUGAUACAAAGCUACUACUUAAAACUAUUCUAAACUGGACUGGAAUACAUUUAGGGAUCAAGCAGACUAGGUGGGGAUUCCCUCAUGGUUAGUACUACUAGCAUAGUUGAGAGAAUCGCACCUAUUUGCACAUUACAUCUACCAUAAGAGAAAUAAAUCAAAUAUACUUGCGCCUUGUAGCUAGAUACAAUUUGACACAUAUAAUCAAUGAGACAGACUAGCUGGGGACUACAACAGAAACAUGGAGCAUACUUACUAGAACCUGGUCUGAACAUAAUUGGUGGGUAUUUAAGGAUAACAGGUGGUGCACCUACAAAUUUAGCCAUCCCACUGGAGGGGGGCUGCUUGGACAGUAAUUCGGAAAAUAACCUGAGUGGUUUCUUCAGCCAAAUUUAAAGGAUCUUAGAUCGAAAUGGCAUUAUGAUUUAUGGAUCUCCCACCUCCUAUACCCUGCAAAGGAUAACACAGAAGAUUAGAUAACAUAACAUGGUUGAAGUUGAAGAGAAAUGUCAUGCUGCACACGUUGGCAGCUAGUCCUUGCUAUCAUGAACGGGUCGUCACCAAGAUUCGCGUUAGAGACAACAACACUCUCCUUAUUGAAAUGGCAAAAACAUUUGUCCACACCGUAUAACCCACAUGUCAGUAGUAUUUAGCAGGUAGGACAGAGAGAGACUUGCAACCACCAGGUGCGCACACGACACAGGGCCGAGCCCACAAGGGGACUUUUGCAACCAAAAGCUGACAUUUAUGCCCAAAGCUCCACUCCUACCACCACUCUGAGCUGGCAAAAGAUUUCAAAUUAAACCAUUCUGUACUGAUCUAACUAAGUAUGUGCCUCAUCUACCAUGUAUGGUGCAUAUAAACGAUCCAACGGUAAAUGCUAAACAAAACUGACACUAAUUAGCAAGUUGCCAUGUUAGAAAUAACUACAAAUUUGAUUGGAAGUUAGUUUGCUGGUAAUUUUGGACGGGCAAUAAAAAACUAAAUCGAUAUUUUGUAUUUGUCCUAAUUGCAAUCGCACCAGCAAUGGUUAAUUGUACAUUCGCAAUUGAUGUGCUUAAUUGAUGUGUUUGUGCUAACUGCAAUCGCAGCAACAACUAUCAAAAAACCAAAAACUACUGCCGCGUCCUAUACUAUAUUACUAUAGUAUAUUCGCUUUGGCGGCUGGAGCUAAUUUUUAUUAGUACCAUCUCUCUCUAACACGCACCAUCAUUCAUACCCAACCGUCAGUAUGGUAAAAAUCCCUCCCAUGGCUAAUGAAACGAGCAACACCGCGACACAGCAUGGCCCGCGCAUGCCAUGUUCAUGUGCGUGGGAGGCCCCAAUUCCGUCUUAUAUCUUUGUACACAGUUGUAUUGCUAACGAUGUGUGAAUUAAAAAGAUUUUCUGACACACAUCACGAGACAACUACCAGCGGUGAGAUAGUACUAACCAGCAACCACCUUGUCCAGAACGGCCGCACUCUGAAGUUGAACAACAAGCUUGCUUGGAAUCGGUACUAAUAGGUUGACAUAUGAGUAGAAGACAACAGCUGGGUCGCAGGGGAUGCUUGUUUGUAGUAAUUGAGUUGGCAAUUAAUGAGAUCCAUAAAGGUAGCAUAAAUCUGAGGAAGCUAGGUGUGGACGAGGAAUCAGAUACAGGAGAUACCUGAGGCGAACGGACGUGCAACGAGCAAGGGUGCUCGCCGGGGACCAUUGAGGAGGCGAUGCGGCCGGAGGGGGGCCAAAUCUGGAGGUGGCCACCGCCAUUGACCUUGUCGCUGCAGCAUGAUCCAGGAAAACGGAGGGAGGUGAGUGGAAACGACGACGGCAGUGAGGGGAAAGGUGGCGACCGGCUUCCCUACCGUGCCCCUCUUCGUCCUCGGCGGCGGCGGGUAGAGAGCGGCGAGAAAACAACGGGGAGGGGGCAGUCGGUACUCCACAGGGGAGGAAAAGCACCUCAGAGGCUAGAUCCGGCAGGGAGACGGGGCCGUAAAGUGCGAGCAGUGGCGGGUCAGAUCAGAUCGGAGCGGCGGUGCUAGUACAGGUGCGGCUGCGGGAGAGAAC
Molecule: long non-coding RNA, 3231 nt
Filed under: Triticum aestivum (bread wheat)
Lineage: Eukaryota; Viridiplantae; Streptophyta; Magnoliopsida; Poales; Poaceae
Description: long non-coding RNA (TAES_LNC014597)
Source: RNAcentral